UAUGUUUUUGUUAUAGGGAUAGUUUUUUGAAGCUUGUAUGACAACUUUUUAUGCAUUUUAUGGUAUAGUACAUAAAGAAGACAAAAAUUCAACAAAAUAAACAGAUUGUAGUAAAACUAACCAUGAUUCAAAUAGCUAUUACACAAAGGCACAAGAAAAACACAAAUAUAUAAUGAGUUUAUUAAGUAGACAAAAAAAAUAAUAAUUUGAAUAAAAAAAAAAAAAAUAGUGAACAGGAAAAAAAACACAUCUUGCCGCAAACAGGGUAUAGUUACUAGAAGUACUAUAAAAAUACAAUAAUGAAAAAACUACCAUUGUAACUUAUUAUUUUCUAUUACUUACAUAAAUAACAACAAGAAUAUAAGAAUAUUUUGAUACUAAAAGGGGUUUGAAAGUACAGUAUAGGUUGCACUUUGUAAAUCACGUGUGAUUUGCAAGUCACGCCUCUUUUGGGGAGAAAUUGAAUGUGCAUUAAAAUACUGCUACUGUUUACAUAGUUGUUGCCAUGGAUGCAAAGUAAUUUUUUUUUAAUUAAGACUUGAUUGGAGAAUUAAAUGGAUAUAAAUAAAAAUGUCUAUUUAUUUAACUUAUUUUUCAGGAGGACUGGAAGACAUUUGGGUGUUGAGUCAAAUUUAAUGGAAAAAAUUCAGUGCGAACCUGCAAUGUUUAUAAAUGGAGGGCAGUAAAACUUGAAAAUAUGCCGCACAGCUAUAUGUUUUUAUUAGUGCAAAAAAAAGUAGUGCAUGUCUCCUUUCCAGGGAAAUAUAACAUUCUCCUCAAAACUUCCUGAAUGAAGAGUGACUGCAUAUGCAAUUUAGGCAGUUCCUAUGGAAAACUGCAUUGCUGGUUUUACACAAGUGCAA
This 863-nucleotide long non-coding RNA is filed under the name Mytilus galloprovincialis (Mediterranean mussel). The record is from RNAcentral. Lineage: Eukaryota; Metazoa; Mollusca; Bivalvia; Mytilida; Mytilidae.